This 583-nucleotide ribosomal RNA is filed under the name Allograpta fuscotibialis. RNAcentral's name for it is "eukaryotic LSU rRNA". Lineage: Eukaryota; Metazoa; Arthropoda; Insecta; Diptera; Syrphidae. The record is from RNAcentral.
AGUACGUGAAACUGCUUAGAGGUUAAGCCCGAUGAACCUGAAUAUCCAUUAUGGAAAAUUCAAUAUUAAGAAUAUAAUAUUUAAUUAUAUUGUAUGAAUAGUAUGCAAUUUUUCCAUAUAAGGACAUUGUAAUCUGUUAAUGUCUUAAAUGUUUAUCAAAAGAUCUUUUACUUAAGUUUAUUUAAAUUGUUUAUUUUCGGAUAUUCAACAUAAAAUAAAUGUUUAAGAUUUGAUAAAUCAUUGACAGAUAUAAUUAUAUAAAAUGCUCAAAUUCUUCGGAAUUUUACAAUGAUAAGUAGAUCUAUUGAUUUAUUUGUUAUUGCAUGCGUUUUUAUGAUUAACAAUGCGAUAGAUUCAGGAUACCUUCGGGACCCGUCUUGAAACACGGACCAAGGAGUCUAACAUAUGUGCAAGUCAUUGGGUAUUUUUAAUAAAACCCAAUGGCAUAAUUAACUUAACUGAUUAAUAAUGGGAUUAAUUUAUAUUUUGUUAUGAUUUAUUUAUUCAAUCCCGGGGCGUUCUAUACAGUUAUGCAUAAUGAUAUUUAUAUUAUUUAUGCCUCUAACUAGAGCGUACCUUGAGC